Long non-coding RNA from Eubalaena glacialis (North Atlantic right whale), 1102 nucleotides. RefSeq lists it as uncharacterized. The transcript is spliced from 7 exons. The record is from RefSeq and is a predicted model, not a curated record. Lineage: Eukaryota; Metazoa; Chordata; Mammalia; Artiodactyla; Balaenidae.
CGUCGGCCCCGAGCCGGGCGAGGCCGGGCGCCGGUCUUGCCGGCAUGUUUGAGCGGCAGACGCCGGCGGCCGGGAGACGCUGGGGCAGGGGCGGGGCCUUGCGGCUCCGUCGCCGCGACGCGAGCGGAGCCGCGUCUUUCCGCCCUGCGGUGGGGACGCGGGACACGUGGUGGGAAGGCGGAGGUCGCGUUCGGCGCAGGGCCUUCCCUGGGCCCGUGACAAGGAUCUGUCAUUCUACCGAAACCUUCACGCUGGGCUGGCAGUAGUUAGUUGCUACGUGGUUUGAAUGGCCUUUCCAAACGUCAACUCACAGAAUGUGUCCUCUGCCAUCUUCAUGCAAAAUAUCCUUCUGCUUGCUCAUCCUUCAAGACUCAAGAAUCAUCUUUGCUGCCAAGUCUCUUCUGAUAUUCCUAGCAGCGUCAGAAGAAUCCUCACAGACGUCUGAGAAAUCUUCGUUCUAUGGACCCUCCUUUGCAAGCAGCUUUCUAAUUCCCAUCUAGGAUUCUAAUUUCCGGAGUUUUCUUCCACAUGGUCACCAGCCCUGGAGAAAUGAUGCCUGUAUGUGACUAAUGAAAGUAUGGAAGUCCAGAGACUUCAGGAGUCAGUCAAGAUAGCCUAAGGGCAAUGAAAGCAUAGAUCUAAAUCUUCUCAUGGGCCUGAAGACAGAACUUUUACUGUAGGAGCCAUUUAGUCUUUACCUGGCCAAGUGCGCAUCGGUCAAAGGCAAACUCUGAAUUGAGCUUUGUGCCAGUCUCUGGAAAGACACCCAAGAGCGUGUGAUGGGGAAAGUGACAGCGGCGGUGGCAGCGACAUCUGCAGUGCCAGCCCCGUCCCUAUCUGCCACAGAACGCGUGUGGGCAGGCUUUAUGAGAACAAUCCACCCGCCAGAGAAUGGGGCUUUUGACAUCAGCUGAGGCCCGGGCUGCCUUACAAUGAGAGGCCUGUUGGUGAAAGGGAGACUGUUUAAUGAACUGAGAAUCAGAGGCCAGCUCUGGCCAUCUGGACUGAGCAUCUUUGGAGCAACUCUUCACUGUAAAUGGCUACACUGAAGCACGUUGCCUUUCCACGAAAGCAAUUGCAACAGUACAUUCAUAUUUCAAAA